UACGGGGGGGGCAAGCGUUGUCCGGAAUUACUGGGCGUAAAGAGCUCGUAGGUGGUUUGUCGCGUUGUUCGUGAAAACUCACAGCUCAACUGUGGGCGUGCGGGCGAUACGGGCAGACUAGAGUACUGCAGGGGAGACUGGAACUCCUGGUGUAGCGGUGGAAUGCGCAGAUAUCAGGAGGAACACCGGUGGCGAAGGCGGGUCUCUGGGCAGUAACUGACGCUGAGGAGCGAAAGCGUGGGGAGCGAACAGG
Molecule: ribosomal RNA, 253 nt
Filed under: uncultured bacterium
Lineage: Bacteria
Description: partial 16S ribosomal RNA
Rfam family: Bacterial small subunit ribosomal RNA
Source: RNAcentral